UACGUAGGGGGCAAGCGUUGUCCGGAUUUAUUGGGCGUAAAGAGCGUGUAGGCGGCCGUACAGGUCAGCUGUGAAAACUCGAGGCUCAACCUCGAGACGUCGGUUGAAACCGUACGGCUAGAGUCCGGAAGAGGAGAGUGGAAUUCCCGGUGUAGCGGUGAAAUGCGCAGAUAUCGGGAAGAACACCCGUGGCGAAGGCGGCUCUCUGGGCCGUAACUGACGCUGAGGAGCGAAAGCGUGGGGAGCGAACAGG
RNAcentral lists this ribosomal RNA (253 nucleotides) under uncultured bacterium. RNAcentral describes it as "partial 16S ribosomal RNA". It matches the Rfam family "Bacterial small subunit ribosomal RNA", at positions 524 to 776 of the family's 1533-position model. The record is from RNAcentral.